RNAcentral lists this ribosomal RNA (401 nucleotides) under uncultured Glomeromycotina. RNAcentral describes it as "SSU rRNA". It matches the Rfam family "Eukaryotic small subunit ribosomal RNA", at positions 569 to 974 of the family's 1831-position model. Lineage: Eukaryota; Fungi; Glomeromycota. The record is from RNAcentral.
AGCAGCCGCGGUAACUCCAGCUCCAAUAGCGUAUAUUAAAGUUGUUGCAGUUAAAAGCUCGUAGUUGAACUUCGGGAUUUAUUCAUUGGUCAGGCUUAAUUGUUUGUACUGGUGAGAUAAAUCUCUACCUUCUGAGGAACUUUUAUGCCAUUUAUUUGGUGUGAUUGGAAAUCAGGACUAUUACUUUAGAAAAAUUGAGUGUUUAAAGCAGGCUAACGUCUGAAUACAUUAGCAUGGAAUAAUGAAAUAGGACGGACUGGUUCUAUUUUGUUGGUUUCUAGGAUCACCGUAAUGAUUAAUAGGGAUAGUUGGGGGCAUUAGUAUUCAAUUGUCAGAGGUGAAAUUCUUGGAUUUAUUGAAGACUAACUACUGCGAAAGCAUUUGCCAAGGAUGUUUUCAUU